AAUACGAAGGGGGCUAGCGUUGCUCGGAAUCACUGGGCGUAAAGGGCGCGUAGGCGGACUUUUAAGUCGGAGGUGAAAGCCCAGGGCUCAACCCUGGAAUUGCCUUCGAUACUGGGAGUCUUGAGUUCGGAAGAGGUUGGUGGAACUGCGAGUGUAGAGGUGAAAUUCGUAGAUAUUCGCAAGAACACCAGUGGCGAAGGCGGCCAACUGGUCCGAUACUGACGCUGAGGCGCGAAAGCGUGGGGAGCAAACA
RNAcentral lists this ribosomal RNA (253 nucleotides) under uncultured prokaryote. Its description in RNAcentral is "partial 16S ribosomal RNA". It matches the Rfam family "Bacterial small subunit ribosomal RNA", at positions 522 to 774 of the family's 1533-position model. The record is from RNAcentral.